GCCGGGGUGGCCGAGCGGACGAAGGCGCAGGCCUUGAGAGCCUGUGGGCCAUGCGGCCCUCGUGGGUUCAAAUCCCACCCCCGGCGCCA
This 89-nucleotide transfer RNA is filed under the name archaeon. Its description in RNAcentral is "tRNA-Ser". It matches the Rfam family "tRNA". Rfam says of the family: Transfer RNA (tRNA) molecules are approximately 80 nucleotides in length. The record is from RNAcentral.